GGGGAUGCAGCUCAGUGGCAGAGAGCUUGCCUAGCAUGCACGAGGCCCUGGGUUCCAUUCCCAGCAUCACAG
RNAcentral lists this transfer RNA (72 nucleotides) under Marmota marmota marmota (Alpine marmot). It matches the Rfam family "tRNA". From Rfam's summary of the family: Transfer RNA (tRNA) molecules are approximately 80 nucleotides in length. Their secondary structure includes four short double-helical elements and three loops (D, anti-codon, and T loops). The record is from Rfam by way of RNAcentral. Lineage: Eukaryota; Metazoa; Chordata; Mammalia; Rodentia; Sciuridae. RNAcentral also lists the same sequence under 1 other name.